GAGUAACGCGUGGGUAACCUGCCUUAUACAGGGGGAUAACAGUCAGAAAUGGCUGCUAAUACCGCAUAAGCGCACAGAGCUGCAUGGCUCAGUGUGAAAAGCUCCGGUGGUACAGGAUGGAUUCGCGUCUGAUUAGCCAGUUGGUGGGGUAACGGCCUACCAAAGCAACGAUCAGUAGCCGGCCUGAGAGGGUGAACGGCCACAUUGGGACUGAGACACGGCCCAAACUCCUACGGGAGGCAGCAUG
Molecule: ribosomal RNA, 247 nt
Filed under: uncultured bacterium
Lineage: Bacteria
Description: partial 16S ribosomal RNA
Rfam family: Bacterial small subunit ribosomal RNA
Source: RNAcentral